RNAcentral lists this ribosomal RNA (540 nucleotides) under uncultured bacterium. RNAcentral's name for it is "bacterial SSU rRNA". It matches the Rfam family "Bacterial small subunit ribosomal RNA", at positions 355 to 896 of the family's 1533-position model. The record is from RNAcentral.
UGAGGAAUAUUGGUCAAUGGGCGAGAGCCUGAACCAGCCAAGUAGCGUGCAGGAUGACGGCCCUAUGGGUUGUAAACUGCUUUUGUAUGGGGAUAAAGUCAAUCACGUGUGAUUGUUUGCAGGUACCAUACGAAUAAGGACCGGCUAAUUCCGUGCCAGCAGCCGCGGUAAUACGGAAGGUCCGGGCGUUAUCCGGAUUUAUUGGGUUUAAAGGGAGCGUAGGCUGGAGAUUAAGUGUGUUGUGAAAUGUAGACGCUCAACGUCUGACUUGCAGCGCAUACUGGUUUCCUUGAGUACGCACAACGUUGGCGGAAUUCGUCGUGUAGCGGUGAAAUGCUUAGAUAUGACGAAGAACUCCGAUUGCGAAGGCAGCUGACGGGAGCGCAACUGACGCUGAAGCUCGAAGGUGCGGGUAUCGAACAGGAUUAGAUACCCUGGUAGUCCGCACAGUAAACGAUGGAUGCCCGCUGUUGGUACUUGGUAUCAGCGGCUAAGCGAAAGCAUUAAGCAUCCCACCUGGGGAGUACGCCGGCNACGGUG